This 484-nucleotide ribosomal RNA is filed under the name uncultured bacterium. Its description in RNAcentral is "partial 16S ribosomal RNA". It matches the Rfam family "Bacterial small subunit ribosomal RNA", at positions 29 to 507 of the family's 1533-position model. The record is from RNAcentral.
AUUGAACGCUGGCGGCAUGCUUUACACAUGCAAGUCGAACGGCAGCGCGGGCUUCGGCCUGGCGGCGAGUGGCGAACGGGUGAGUAAUGCAUCGGAACGUGCCCAGUAGUGGGGGAUAGCCCGGCGAAAGCCGGAUUAAUCCCGCAUACGACCUGAGGUUGAAAGGGGGGGACCGAAAGGCCUCGCGCUAUUGGAGCGGCCGAUGUCGGAUUAGCUAGUUGGUGGGGUAAAGGCUUACCAAGGGGACGAUCCGUAGCUGGUCUGAGAGGACGACCAGCCACACUGUCACUGAGACACGGCCCAGACUCCUACGGGAGGCCGCAGUCGGGACUUUUGCACGAUGGAGGCAACCCUGAUCCAGCAAUGCCGCGUGAAGCAAGAAGCACUUCGGGUUGUAAACCGCUUUUGUUCGGGAAGAUGUACUGUGCGCUAAUCCCCCGGGAUGAUGACGGUACCGGAAGAAUAAGCACCGGCUAACUACGUG